UUGACCUCGGAUCAGGUAGGAAUACCCGCUGAACUUAAGCAUAUCAAUAAGCGGAGGANAAGAAACCAACAGGGAUUGCCCCAGUAACGGCGAGUGAAGCGGCAACAGCUCAAAUUUGAAAUCUGGCCCCUCGGGGUCCGAGUUGUAAUUUGUAGAGGAUGCUUUUGGUGAGGUGCCGCCCGAGNUCCCUGGAACGGGACGCCACAGAGGGUGAGAGCCCCGUCUGGCUGGCCACCGAGCCUCUGUAAAGCUCCUUCGACCAGUCGAGUAUUUUGGGGAUGCUGCUCAAAU
This 291-nucleotide ribosomal RNA is filed under the name Trichoderma sp. FF62. RNAcentral's name for it is "partial 28S ribosomal RNA". It matches the Rfam family "Eukaryotic large subunit ribosomal RNA", at positions 1 to 292 of the family's 3401-position model. Lineage: Eukaryota; Fungi; Ascomycota; Sordariomycetes; Hypocreales; Hypocreaceae. The record is from RNAcentral.